Molecule: unclassified non-coding RNA, 298 nt
Organism: Cricetulus griseus (Chinese hamster)
Lineage: Eukaryota; Metazoa; Chordata; Mammalia; Rodentia; Cricetidae
Gene: 7SK
Rfam family: 7SK RNA
About the family: 7SK was discovered as an abundant small nuclear RNA in the mid-70s but a possible function has only recently been suggested. Two independent studies have found that 7SK RNA binds the CDK9/cyclin T complex (known as elongation factor P-TEFb).
Source: Ensembl
GGAUGGUGUAGAGCAUUGUGUCUUGGAUACCUGGAAUGCAUUUAAUAGCCAGUAUUGAUUCUGCUGACAGGGCAGGUUGUGUGGGAAUCCCUUUCCUCCCUAAACAGUCCUUGUGCAUCCCUUUGCAAGUGUUAUUCUUGGUCAAAUAGGGCACCAUUCCCAGAACAGAGGAGGACUAGUCUUUGGUCAAAGGUGUAUAUGCAGCUGCACACUCCUGCUAGAACCUGCAAACAAGCUCUCAUGAGUACCUUUUAUUGUGUGUCCUUCAUGCAGCGCUCUCACCCUCAAGGUGCUCCUU